RNAcentral lists this ribosomal RNA (509 nucleotides) under uncultured bacterium. RNAcentral describes it as "bacterial SSU rRNA". It matches the Rfam family "Bacterial small subunit ribosomal RNA", at positions 1 to 507 of the family's 1533-position model. The record is from RNAcentral.
CCGUACGAUACGAGUUUGAUCCUGGCUCAGGAUGAACGCUAGCGGCGGGCUUAAUACAUACAAGUCGAACGGUAACAGGUCUUCGGACGCUGACGAGUGGCGCACGGGUGCGUAACGCGUACACAACCUACCCUAAAGAGGGGAUAGCUCCGGGAAACUGGGAAUAAUACCCCAUAGUACUACUAAGUUGCAUAAUUUGGUAGUUAAAGGUUUACUGCUUUAGGAUGGGUGUGCGAGCCAUUAGGUAGUUGGAGAGGUAACGGCUCACCAAGCCGACGAUGGCUAGCUGGUCUGAGAGGAUGAUCAGCCACACGGGCACUGAGACACGGGCCCGACUCCUACGGGAGGCAGCAGUAAGGAAUAUUGGACAAUGGGCGAAAGCCUGAUCCAGCCACGCCGCGUGCAGGAUGACGGUCCUAUGGAUUGUAAACUGCUUUUGUCAGAGACGAAAGUGUAUGAUUUAUCAUAUUUUGACGGUAUCUGGCGAAUAAGCACCGGCUAACUACGUG